GCACCUACGGGAGGCAGCAGUGGGGAAUAUUGCACAAUGGGGGGAACCCUGAUGCAGCGACGCCGCGUGGGUGAAGGAGUACUUCGGUACGUAAAGCCCUAUCAGCAGGAAAGAAAAUGACGGUACCUGACCAAGAAGCCCCGGCUAACUACGUGCCAGCAGCCGCGGUAAUACGUAGGGGGCAAGCGUUAUCCGGAAUUACUGGGUGUAAAGGGAGCGUAGACGGUGAUGCAAGUCUGGAGUGAAAGGCGGGGGCCCAACCCCCGGACUGCUCUGGAAACUGUAUGACUUGAGUGCAGGAGAGG
Molecule: ribosomal RNA, 305 nt
Filed under: uncultured bacterium
Lineage: Bacteria
Description: bacterial SSU rRNA
Rfam family: Bacterial small subunit ribosomal RNA
Source: RNAcentral